GGGCCAGACUCCUACGGGAGGCAGCAGUGAGGAAUAUUGGUCAAUGGGCGAGAGCCUGAACCAGCCAAGUCGCGUGAGGGAAGACGGUCCUACGGAUUGUAAACCUCUUUUGUCAGGGAGCAAGGAGCGCCACGAGUGGUGCGGCGAGAGUACCUGAAGAAAAAGCAUCGGUUAACUCCGUGCCAGCAGCCGCGGUAAUACGUAGGGGGCAAGCGUUAUCCGGAUUUACUGGGUGUAAAGGGAGCGUAGACGGCCAGACAAGUCAGAAGUGAAAGCCCAGGGCUCAACCCUGGGACUGCUUUUGAAACUGCCGGGCUGGAGUGCAGGAGAGGUAAGCGGAAUUCCUAGUGUAGCGGUGAAAUGCGUAGAUAUUCGGAGGAACACCGGUGGCGAAGGCGGCCAACUGGGCUUUAACUGACGCUGAGGCUCGAAAGUGUGGGGAGCAAACAGGAUUAGAUACCCCUGUAAA
Molecule: ribosomal RNA, 469 nt
Filed under: uncultured bacterium
Lineage: Bacteria
Description: bacterial SSU rRNA
Rfam family: Bacterial small subunit ribosomal RNA
Source: RNAcentral